GGGCACACCUAGUGUGAAAUUUUCAAAAAAUCGAUUUUUUUUUCCCCCCAUAUUUUGAUAGGUUAUACCUUUAAAAAUAACAUACUAAAAUUUUAAAUCGAUAUCUUAAAUAGUUUUUGAGUUACAGCCAUUUAAAAGAGUAGCCGCUCGGCAGUUAGAUAGUUGCAUUGGCUACGGGAUAUACCUGAAGUAAGUUUAAGCACGAUUACCUCCCACUGGAUCCAGAAGUUGAAAAAGGUCUAAAGCCUAUUUAUGAAGAUUUAUCUCGGCAUGAAUUGCUUGAUAGAUGCAAAGAUAUUUAAUGCAAUGGGAGUAAAAGUUGGACCUGCAGCAAGAGAUUAUACGGCUCUUAAGAACGAGACGAGACUACGAAUCGCUGAUCAUCGCCAACGGGCUUGUUCAAAAGAGGGUCGAUCAUCUCGAAGAAGAGCUUCUUCAGCUCAACAAGCACUUUUUGAGGAAGAGGAAGGUGAAUUAUAUGGGCCUGGAAUAGCAGAUUAGCUGUUUUAUCAACGGAGAAGGCUGCAAUCACUCUAGCAGUGGAGGACCUUUUUUUUUUGGCGCCGCCGGAGAUCGCGUGUCAUUUCAAAAAUAUUUAAUAUUUUAUUUCAAAAAUUUUACCGUGUAUUCUCAAAACAUGUAUAAAUAUACCCUCAAAAUUUUAAAUAGA
Daktulosphaira vitifoliae (grape phylloxera) is the source of this 670-nucleotide long non-coding RNA. RefSeq lists it as uncharacterized. The transcript has 3 exons. Lineage: Eukaryota; Metazoa; Arthropoda; Insecta; Hemiptera; Phylloxeridae. The record is from RefSeq and is a predicted model, not a curated record.